RNAcentral lists this ribosomal RNA (329 nucleotides) under uncultured eukaryote. RNAcentral describes it as "partial 18S ribosomal RNA". It matches the Rfam family "Eukaryotic small subunit ribosomal RNA", at positions 1470 to 1796 of the family's 1831-position model. The record is from RNAcentral.
CCCUUAGAUGUUCUGGGCCGCACGCGCGCUACACUGACGGAGGCAGCGAGCGUGUCCUUCGCCGGCAGGUGCGGGCAAUCUUGCGAGUCUCCGUCGUGCUGGGGAUAGAUGGUUGCAAUUGUCGAUCUUGAACGAGGAAUUCCCAGUAAGCGCGAGUCAUCAGCUCGCGCUGAUUACGUCCCUGCCCUUUGUACACACCGCCCGUCGCUACUACAGAGUGCCCGUGUCCAAGAAACGGUCGGACCUGUGCGGCCUCUCCGGGCGACCGGAGGGCCGUUACGGGGAAGACCCUUUAUUUGACGCGGGUCGAUGAAGUAAAAGUCGUAACA